CUCCUGACAAUGCAUCAGGAGGACUGUCUACUUCCAGAUAGCAGUUGACUGUGGGGAACUGAAACUGUGAAAAGGGAAACCACAGAUAAGCGGGGGUGGGGAAGACUACUGUGAUCCAUGUUCUCUACUUCUCAAGCCUGAAGUAAAAGGCUUCUCGUGAAACUCUCCGCCUGCAUCAAUGUCCGCUUUCCAGUUUUAGACUUAUCGUGAGAGUAGUUCAUGUGACAAGACAAGGAGAAAAAUGGCAAACUCAUCACCAGUGAUGCACACUCUUGAAGAUCGAAGAUCUAUCACCAAUCUACUUCCUUCUUUUUAAAUGAGAACUAACAAGUACAGAAUUUGACUUUUACAUUUUAAAGUUUAUUUUCUCCUCCUUGUAAUUCCCUUACCUAUGAGACAGCUCACUGUAGUAUGCCAGAAAUAAUGCAACAAAUGAAAAGUUAAUUAUCAAAUGGAAGGAAUGGAGGAAAAAGAGGAGAAGUGGCAGUGAACUAUGAGCCAAUGGACUACCACCUUUUAUCCAACUAUUGCUUGGAUCUAACUGAUUUAAGCAAUAUUCUUUGCUUGCCACUUUCACAAUUUAUAGGCCUCAUUGCUACAAAAUAAGCCUUCAAUUUCCAUGAAUGAUAUUAUCCACAUCUUGUUUAAGUGAACUUCAAUACAUUCACUUCUCCUGUUGUAACAUGUUUGUUAAAACUGGAGGCUCUGGUUUCAUCACAAGAUUUUACUAUGUUUAUAUUCUCUUAACCUGAACUUGUUUAUUUUUGUUACAAUAUACUUCAGCUUUCAUUAGCUGCCAGGUUAACAAUAAUCUUGCCACAAAACAAUUCACUAUUACAUAAGUAAAGCAAAGUAACAUGCCUAUGAAUGAACCAUGUCUACAACUUUAAUUAAGAGAAAAAGUAUAUCGAAGACACUGCCUUUUUAAGUGUGUCAAAGAUCCAAGUAUUUUUGAAACCUGAACAAGAAACACUAGUUUAAUCAGGCCUUGGCUCAAUCUGGUAUAAAUGUAAA
Canis lupus familiaris (dog) is the source of this 1014-nucleotide long non-coding RNA. RefSeq lists it as uncharacterized. The transcript is spliced from 3 exons. Lineage: Eukaryota; Metazoa; Chordata; Mammalia; Carnivora; Canidae. The record is from RefSeq and is a predicted model, not a curated record.